CGGUGGAGCAUGUGGUUUAAUUCGAUGCAACGCGAAGAACCUUACCUGGUCUUGACAUCCACAGAACUUUGCAGAGAUGGAUUUGUGCCUUCGGGAACUGUGAGACAGGUGCUGCAUGGCUGUCGUCAGCUCGUGUUGUGAAAUGUUGGGUUAAGUCCCGCAACGAGCGCAACCCUUAUCCUUUGUUGCCAGCGGUCCGGUCGGGAACUCAAAGGAGACUGCCAGUGAUAAACUGGAGGAAGGUGGGGAUGACGUCAAGUCAUCAUGGCCCUUACGACCAGGGCUACACACGUGCUACAAUGGCGCAUACAAAGAGAAGCGACCUCGCGAGAGCAAGCGGACCUCAUAAAGUGCGUCGUAGUCCGGAUUGGAGUCUGCAACUCGACUCCAUGAAGUCGGAAUCGCUAGUAAUCGUGGAUCAGAAUGCCACGGUGAAUACGUUCCCGGGCCUUGUACACACCGCCCGU
RNAcentral lists this ribosomal RNA (467 nucleotides) under Salmonella enterica. RNAcentral describes it as "bacterial SSU rRNA". It matches the Rfam family "Bacterial small subunit ribosomal RNA", at positions 930 to 1397 of the family's 1533-position model. The record is from RNAcentral. Lineage: Bacteria; Pseudomonadati; Pseudomonadota; Gammaproteobacteria; Enterobacterales; Enterobacteriaceae.